ACCCGUCUUGUAACACGGACCAAGGAGUCUAGUACCUGUGCAAAUCAAGAGUCUUUAUACCUCUAGGUGUAAUGAAAGUGACUGCUGGGAUCUUUGCACCAGCGACCAGCCUGUACAUGAUACAACUCUGAGUUUGAGCACAAUUACUAGGACCCGAAAGGUGGUGAACUAUGCCUGUGAAGAGCGAAGCCAGGGGAAACUCUGGUGGAGGACCGUAGCGAUUCUGACGUGCAAAUCGAUCGUCAAAUUUGGGUAUAGGGGCGAAAGACUAAUCGAACUAUCUAGUAGCUGGUUCCCUCCGAAAUUUCCCUUAGGAUAGCUGCAAUC
Molecule: ribosomal RNA, 327 nt
Filed under: Alexandrium tamarense
Lineage: Eukaryota; Dinophyceae; Gonyaulacales; Pyrocystaceae
Description: partial Eukaryotic large subunit ribosomal RNA
Rfam family: Eukaryotic large subunit ribosomal RNA
Source: RNAcentral